ACAUGGCCAAAAAUGAACACAAGAAACCUGAAUUCCUUACCCGGAACGUAAGUUAAACCCAACUUAUCUAUAUCCUUUAAUGUUCUAAUUUCAUUUGGAUUGAUGUAUUGUAUAUGUCUCUACUUCUGCAGCCAUUCGGUCAAGUUCCAGCGUUUGAGGAUGGUGAUCUCAAGUUGUUCGGUAAGGAUCUCCUGUCGAUUUUAGUUUGUAUAAGGAAUCACUGUUGUUUCGAAAUGAUUUAAGAUUUUGUUUUUUAGUUUGUAGCUUGUAAAUUAUAAUGAAAUGAUCAAUUUAACCUUGGAAUUUGAUGAAGUAAUUAAUUUGGUUCAGAAUCAAGGGCGAUUACUCAAUACAUAGCACACGCGUAUGCCGACAAGGGUAACGAUCUGAUAUUCGAGGAUCCGAAGAAAAUGGCGAAACUGUCGGUGUGGAUGGAAGUGGAGUCCCAGAAAUAUGAACCGAUAGCUUCGAAACUGGUGUGGGAGCUUCUUUUGAAGCCGAUGUUUGGGAUGACUACCGACGAGGCGAUUGUGGAAGAGUACGAGAAGAAAAUGGAGGGGUUGCUUGACGUGUACGAAUCACGGCUGUCGGAGAGCAAGUAUUUGGGCGGAGAUUGCUUCACUUUGGUGGAUCUCCACCACCUCCCUACCAUGAAGUACUUGAUGGGAACGCGGGUGAAGAAGCUGUUUGACGCGCGGCCCAAUGUCAGCGCGUGGGCUGCCGAAAUCCAGUCAAGGCCUGGCUGGAUCAAAGCUAUUACCGCCUAAUCAAAACGAGCUCUUAAUUAUGGUUUGGAAAGAUCUACUCAUUAAAUUUGAUGCUUGAUGAGAUUUAGAUGUUUGUAAUGCCGUGUGUGUGUGUGUGCAAUGUAUCAGUUGCCCUUUCAACAACUACUAGUAAUAAAAUAAAAUUUUGAUUAUUGAAAUAACUUCAGAUAUUAUAUAUGUAGUGGCAUAUAUGUAAACACCAAAUCAUAUUCUUUGAUGUAAA
This 990-nucleotide long non-coding RNA is filed under the name Lactuca sativa (garden lettuce). RNAcentral describes it as "long non-coding RNA (LSAT_LNC006180)". The record is from RNAcentral. Lineage: Eukaryota; Viridiplantae; Streptophyta; Magnoliopsida; Asterales; Asteraceae.